RNAcentral lists this ribosomal RNA (301 nucleotides) under uncultured bacterium. RNAcentral's name for it is "partial 16S ribosomal RNA". It matches the Rfam family "Bacterial small subunit ribosomal RNA", at positions 509 to 807 of the family's 1533-position model. The record is from RNAcentral.
CAGCAGCCGCGGUAAUACGUAGGGUGCGAGCGUUAAUCGGAAUUACUGGGCGUAAAGCGUGCGCAGGCGGUUGUGUAAGGCAGGUGUGAAAUCCCCGGGCUUAACCUGGGAACUGCGCUUGUGACUGCACAGCUAGAGUAUGGCAGAGGGGGGUGGAAUUCCACGUGUAGCAGUGAAAUGCGUAGAGAUGUGGAGGAACACCGAUGGCGAAGGCAGCCCCCUGGGCCAAUACUGACGCUCAUGCACGAAAGCGUGGGGAGCAAACAGGAUUAGAUACCCGCGUAGUCCCUGUCUCUUAUAC